UACGAGGGGAGCAAGCGUUGUUCGGAUUUACUGGGCGUAAAGGGCGCGUAGGCGGCCUGACAAGUGGAAGGUGAAAUCCCUCGGCUUAACCGAGGAACUGCCCUCCAAACUGUUUGGCUUGAGACCGGGAGAGGUGAGUGGAAUUCCCAGUGUAGCGGUGAAAUGCGUAGAUAUUGGGAGGAACACCAGUGGCGAAGGCGGCUCACUGGACCGGUACUGACGCUGAGGCGCGAAAGCGUGGGGAGCGAACAGG
Molecule: ribosomal RNA, 253 nt
Filed under: uncultured bacterium
Lineage: Bacteria
Description: partial 16S ribosomal RNA
Rfam family: Bacterial small subunit ribosomal RNA
Source: RNAcentral